This 203-nucleotide long non-coding RNA is filed under the name Mustela putorius furo (domestic ferret). Its description in RNAcentral is "lncRNA (ENSMPUG00000027805.1)". The record is from RNAcentral. Lineage: Eukaryota; Metazoa; Chordata; Mammalia; Carnivora; Mustelidae.
GAAGAAUUGAGCCCUUGGCUGCCUGGCUGAGAAGAACAGCCCUUCAUGGACAACUGUCAUUUUUUGGAAUACCCUCUCCUCCUGCUGUAAGAGCCUUACACUCCUGCAAGAUGAAGCAUACCAAGCGUUUAUUGCUUUGCCAUGUUGCCAAGGUUGUAAAGUUAUUUUUUCAAAAUGUGGACAGUAAUUUCAUCUAUAAAUAA